AGGGAAUUUUGCGCAAUGGACGGAAGUCUGACACAGCAACGCCGCGUGAAGGAUGACGGCCUUCGGGUUGUAAACUUCUGUUGGAUGGGAAAAAAAGCCUAGGAAUAGGAAUUGAUGGUACCAUUCGAGUAAGCACCGGCUAACUACGUGCCAGCAGCCGCGGUAAUACGUAGGGUGCGAGCGUUGUUCGGAAUCACUGGGCGUAAAGGGAGCGUAGGCGGGAUCGUAAGUUAGGAGUUUAAUACAUGGGCUCAACCCGUGAUAUGCGUUUAAUACUGCGGUUCUUGAGUAUGGGAGAGGGUGGUGGAAUUCCAGGUGUAGCGGUGGAAUGCGUAGAUAUCUGGAAGAACACCAGUAGCGAAGGCGGUCACCUGGCCCAAUACUGACGCUGAGGCUCGAAAGCUGGGGGAGCAAAC
RNAcentral lists this ribosomal RNA (416 nucleotides) under uncultured bacterium. RNAcentral describes it as "bacterial SSU rRNA". It matches the Rfam family "Bacterial small subunit ribosomal RNA", at positions 356 to 773 of the family's 1533-position model. The record is from RNAcentral.